RNAcentral lists this ribosomal RNA (630 nucleotides) under Clitopilus giovanellae. Its description in RNAcentral is "eukaryotic LSU rRNA". It matches the Rfam family "Eukaryotic large subunit ribosomal RNA", at positions 40 to 654 of the family's 3401-position model. Lineage: Eukaryota; Fungi; Basidiomycota; Agaricomycetes; Agaricales; Entolomataceae. The record is from RNAcentral.
AUAUCAAUAAGCGGAGGAAAAGAAACUAACAAGGAUUCCCCUAGUAACUGCGAGUGAAGCGGGAAAAGCUCAAAUUUAAAAUCUGGUAGUCUCUGGCUGCCCGAGUUGUAAUCUAGAGAAGCGUUAUCCGUGCUGGACCGUGUAUAAGUCUCCUGGAAUGGAGCGUCAUAGAGGGUGAGAAUCCCGUCUUUGACACGGACUACCAGUGCAUUGUGAUGCGCUCUCGAAGAGUCGAGUUGUUUGGGAAUGCAGCUCUAAAUGGGUGGUAAAUUCCAUCUAAAGCUAAAUAUUGGCGAGAGACCGAUAGCGAACAAGUACCGUGAGGGAAAGAUGAAAAGAACUUUGGAAAGAGAGUUAAACAGUACGUGAAAUUGUUGAAAGGGAAACGCUUGAAGUCAGUCGCGUUAGCUUGGAAUCAGCCUUGCUUUUGCUUGGUGUACUUCCUUGUUGACGGGUCAGCAUCAAUUUUGACCGGUGGAAAAGGGCCAGUUGAAUGUGGCAUCUUCGGAUGUGUUAUAGCUUCUGGUCGUAUACAUCGGUUGGGAUUGAGGAACUCAGCACGCCGCAAGGUCGGGGUUCGCCCACGUUCGUGCUUAGGAUGCUGGCAUAAUGGCUUUAAUCGACCCGUCU